RNAcentral lists this ribosomal RNA (498 nucleotides) under uncultured bacterium. RNAcentral describes it as "partial 16S ribosomal RNA". It matches the Rfam family "Bacterial small subunit ribosomal RNA", at positions 30 to 523 of the family's 1533-position model. The record is from RNAcentral.
AUUGAACGCUGGCGGAAUGCUUUACACAUGCAAGUCGAACGGCAGCACGGACUUCGGUCUGUGGCGAGUGGCGAACGGGUGAGUAAUGUAUCGGAACGUGCCCAGUCGUGGGGGAUAACGUAGUGAAAAUUACGCUAAUACCGCAUACGAUCUAUGGAUGAAAGCGGGGGAUCGCAAGACCUCGCGCGAUUGGAGCGGCCGAUAUCAGAUUAGGUAGUUGGUGGGGUAAAGGCCCACCAAGCCAACGAUCUGUAGCUGGUCUGAGAGGACGACCAGCCACACUGGAACUGAGACACGGUCCAGACUCCUACGGGAGGCAGCAGUGGGGAAUUUUGGACAAUGGGCGAAAGCCUGAUCAGCCAUUCCGCGUGCAGGAUGAAGGCCCUCGGGUUGUAAACUGCUUUUGUACAGAACGAAAAGGUUUCUACUAAUACUAGGAGCUCAUGACGGUACUGUAAGAAUAAGCACCGGCUAACUACGUGCCAGCAGCCGCGGUAA